GCUGGCGGCGUGCUUACACAUGCAAGUCGAACGAUGAACUGGCGCUUGCGUCGGGGAUUAGUGGCGAACGGGUGAGUAACACGUGAGUAACCUGCCCUUAACUCUGGGAUAAGCCUGGGAAACUGGGUCUAAUACCGGAUAUUGACUUUUCACCGCAUGGUGUUUUGUUGAAAGCUUUAGUGGUUUUGGAUGGACUCGCGGCCUAUCAGCUUGUUGGUGAGGUAAUGGCUUACCAAGGCGACGACGGGUAGCCGGCCUGAGAGGGUGACCGGCCACACUGGGACUGAGACACGGCCCAGACUCCUACGGGAGGCAGCAGUGGGGAAUAUUGCACAAUGGGCGAAAGCCUGAUGCAGCGACGCCGCGUGAGGGAUGACGGCCUUCGGGUUGUAAACCUCUUUCAGUAGGGAACAAGGCCACACGUUGUGUGGUUGAGGGUACUUGCAGAAGAAGCGCCGGCUAACUACGUGCCAGCAGCCGCGGUAAUACGUAGGGCGCAAGCGUUAUCCGGAAUUAUUGGGCGUAAAGAGCUCGUAGGCGGUUUGUCGCGUCUGCCGUGAAAGUCCGGGGCUCAACUCCGGAUCUGCGGUGGGUACGGGCAGACUAGAGUGAUGUAGGGGAGACUGGAAUUCCUGGUGUAGCGGUGAAAUGCGCAGAUAUCAGGAGGAACACCGAUGGCGAAGGCAGGUCUCUGGGCAUUAACUGACGCUGAGGAGCGAAAGCAUGGGGAGCGAACAGGAUUAGAUACCCUGGUAGUCCAUGCCGUAAACGUUGGG
This 776-nucleotide ribosomal RNA is filed under the name Actinomycetales bacterium 438. RNAcentral describes it as "bacterial SSU rRNA". It matches the Rfam family "Bacterial small subunit ribosomal RNA", at positions 35 to 813 of the family's 1533-position model. Lineage: Bacteria; Bacillati; Actinomycetota; Actinomycetes; Actinomycetales. The record is from RNAcentral.